This 656-nucleotide ribosomal RNA is filed under the name uncultured bacterium. RNAcentral describes it as "bacterial SSU rRNA". It matches the Rfam family "Bacterial small subunit ribosomal RNA", at positions 8 to 659 of the family's 1533-position model. The record is from RNAcentral.
AGAGUUUGAUCAUGGCUCAGAUUGAACGCUGGCGGCAGGCCUAACACAUGCAAGUCGAGCGGUAGAGAGGUGCUUGCACCUCUUGAGAGCGGCGGACGGGUGAGUAAAGCCUAGGAAUCUGCCUGGUAGUGGGGGAUAACGCUCGGAAACGGACGCUAAUACCGCAUACGUCCUACGGGAGAAAGCAGGGGACCUUCGGGCCUUGCGCUAUCAGAUGAGCCUAGGUCGGAUUAGCUAGUUGGUGAGGUAAUGGCUCACCAAGGCGACGAUCCGUAACUGGUCUGAGAGGAUGAUCAGUCACACUGGAACUGAGACACGGUCCAGACUCCUACGGGAGGCAGCAGUGGGGAAUAUUGGACAAUGGGCGAAAGCCUGAUCCAGCCAUGCCGCGUGUGUGGAGAAGGUCUUCGGAUUGUAAAGCACUUUAAGUUGGGAGGAAGGGCAUUAACCUAAUACGUUAGUGUUUUGACGUUACCGACAGAAUAAGCACCGGCUAACUCUGUGCCAGCAGCCGCGGUAAUACAGAGGGUGCAAGCGUUAAUCGGAAUUACUGGGCGUAAAGCGCGCGUAGGUGGUUCGUUAAGUUGGAUGUGAAAUCCCCGGGCUCAACCUGGGAACUGCAUUCAAAACUGUCGAGCUAGAGUAUGGUAGAGGGU